This 503-nucleotide long non-coding RNA is filed under the name Salvia miltiorrhiza (redroot sage). Its description in RNAcentral is "long non-coding RNA (SMIL_LNC012894)". The record is from RNAcentral. Lineage: Eukaryota; Viridiplantae; Streptophyta; Magnoliopsida; Lamiales; Lamiaceae.
AAGAAAGAUGUACAUGUGUUGUUGCUAUUGACACUGGUGGGUGUUCCAAUCUCAUAGGUGGGCUGCAUGAUCUAGGUUGCCGUUACAUGAGUGUGCUAGCGCUUGUGGCGAAAUAUGGACUCUGAGGUAUUUUCCUCACAAUGUCUUGUAAUCCAAAGUGAGUAGAAAUUCAAAGUUGAUCAUUUCCUAUUGAAAACAAUCAUAAUAGAGUUGAUUAGUAUGCAAGAGUUUUCGGAGCAAAAAUUGAGUACUAGAAAAAGGAAAUUGUAAUAGACUCGUUGUUUUGGGUGGUUGCUGCUUAUUUUUAUGUGGUCAAAUUUCAGAAAAUAGGACUUCCACAUAUUCAUUGCAGUGGUUGCCGAGCAAAAUAAAGGUGAGUGUAAUAAAGGUGAAUAUUCCACAUGAAACAACGAUGUUAAUAGUCGAAUGAUGUCAUCAACGAUAUAGGAAAGUAUGCAAAUACAUUAUUGUUUGUCAUUAUUAUUUUCAUUACUACUACUACU